Eupeodes corollae is the source of this 498-nucleotide long non-coding RNA. RefSeq lists it as uncharacterized. The transcript is spliced from 2 exons. The record is from RefSeq and is a predicted model, not a curated record. NCBI's taxonomy places the organism in Eukaryota, Metazoa, Arthropoda, Insecta, Diptera, Syrphidae.
CGUAAAUAAACGCUUUUUAUCUUUUUAUAGGUAUAGCGAUAUGAUCGCUUAUUCGCCCGAACAAAACGAUGUAAUUUUAAAUGAAGCCAUAUUGGCUGAAAGCAUAACACCUGUUUGUAGCCGUAAACGGAGGUUUGAGGAAGAGACAGCUACACCCAGAACUUUGAAACGUAAAUGUUUGCGUUACAAACAAUUAUACGUGAAAAAAAACAACAUGCUAAAGGCAUCAAGGCGCAAGCUAAAGAGGAAAGAGAUUAAAAUUCAAUCUUUGGAAUUCUUGCUUGAUGUACUUCAAAAAAGAAAUCUCAUUUCCAAAACUGUAUCAUGAAAUCCGUUCGUAAUUCAAAAUUGUAUGAGAUUUUCCACUACGAACGAAUUUCAUGAUACAGUUUUUCGGGAUUCGUAAAAAUUUCCGAUUACGAUGGAAUUCAUGAUAGUGCUAAUUAUUUGUUUUAUGUCCCGCCCAUUCCCAUUAAAGUUUUCGAAUUAUAAAACGGA